UGCCGCAGCCCCGGGAGGAUGUGCCAGGCUCCGCUCGGCUCCGGGAGAACAAAUUCUCGCUUCUCCAGGAGGAGCUGGGCUCCGGCACCAGCUGGGGAGCAAAACCCCAAAUCCACGGGCCGAUCCAGAGGGUGCCGGGGCGGCCGCGGGAACAGCUUGGGAUGAGAGCGGGGCCGUGGGAGGCUGGAGGGGACCCGCGGGUGCCAAAAUCCCCUCGGCUCCACCUGGCACCGCUUGGCAGCUCCCGUCUGGAAGCGCCGAGGGCGAUGCCAGGCUCGGCAGAUGUUGCCCGCGGAUCCGAGCAGGCUGAGCCAUCCCCGCGACACCUCCGGCUGCUUCUUGCUGGGGCUUUGAGGAGUUCUGUUGGGUUUUAUUUAAUUAUUUUUUAUUUUUUUGGGGUGCGAUUUAGAGAACUCAGCAGCCGCCGCUUGGCCGCGUUUGAUCAGGAGCAGAAUUUCCGGGCCCUUCAGCUGUGGCAGGCUCGGAGCCGCGCGGUGCCAAAAGGGCUCUGCUUGUCCCCGUCUCCGGUGGCCGUGCUGGUGACACAAAGGCCCCUCUGUGCCGCCGUGAGGGCGCGGCCUGGGCGAAUAUUGCUGGAUAGACUGGGCGAGGGCACAAAGCCCCGCUGUCCGUGCCAGCUCCGGGAGGGCGCCCGCAUUCCCCAUCCGUGACUGUGCCACUGUUCCCAUCCCAACCCCAAUCCGUGACUGUGCCACUGUUCCCAUUACAACCCCGAUCCGUGACUGUGCCACUGUUCCCAUUCCAAGCCUGAUCCGUGACUGUUCCCACCCCAAUCCCAUCCGUGACUGUGCCACUGUUCCCACCCCAAUCCCAUCUGUGCCUGUCCCACUGUUCCUGUCCCAGCCCCGACCCUUGACUGUUCCCACUGUUCCCAUUCCAACCCUGAUCCAUGAUGGUUCCCACCCCAAUCCCAUCCGUAACUGUGCCACUCUUCCCAUUCCAACCCUUAUCCGUGACUGUUCCCAUCCCAACUCCAAUCUGACUGUGCCACUGUUNNNNNNNNNNGUUCCCACCCCAAUCCCAUCCGUGACUGUGCCACUGUUCCUGUCCCAACCCUGAUCUGUGCCUGUCCCACUGUUCCCACACCAACCCCAAUCCGUGACUGUGCCACUGUUCCCACCCCAAACCCCGUUCCAUGACUGUUCCCAUCCCAUCCCCAACCCGUAACUGUUCCCACUGCUCCCAUUCCAACCCCAACCCGUGACUGUUCCCACUGUUCCUAUUCCAACCCUGAUCCGUGACUGUCCCGCUGUUCUUGUCCCAACCCCGAUCUGUGCCUGUCCCACUGUUCCCACCCCAAUCCCAUCCAUGCCUGUCCCACUGUUCCUGUCCCAGCCCUGAUCUGUGACUAUUCCCAACCCAAAUGGAUCAGGAACAAAAUGGGAAUGGAGGAGGGAUGGAGCGGGGAUGGAGCAGGGAUGGGGCAGGGAUGGAGCAGGGAUGGAGCAGAGACGGAGCAGGGAUGGAGCCAGGAUGGAGCCGGGAUGGAGCAGGGAUUUAUCCCGGGAUGGAGCAGGGACGGAGUAAGGAUGGAGCAGGGAUUUAUCCCGGGAUAAACCCGCGUGCUGGAGCUGCCCUCGGCUCCUUCCCCCACCCCGCGGCAUAACACAAAAUGGCAUUUAUAGAAUGGAUUCU
RNAcentral lists this long non-coding RNA (1656 nucleotides) under Chloebia gouldiae (Gouldian finch). Its description in RNAcentral is "Erythrura gouldiae (Gouldian finch) lncRNA (ENSEGOG00005015801.1)". The record is from RNAcentral. Lineage: Eukaryota; Metazoa; Chordata; Aves; Passeriformes; Passeridae.